RNAcentral lists this long non-coding RNA (368 nucleotides) under Daucus carota (carrot). RNAcentral's name for it is "long non-coding RNA (DCAR_LNC007333)". Lineage: Eukaryota; Viridiplantae; Streptophyta; Magnoliopsida; Apiales; Apiaceae. The record is from RNAcentral.
CAACUUAUAUCACAUAUAUACGCAGUAAUUAUUUAAGAAUUGGGGGAGUUUCCAUAUCCCAUAGUAUACAAACAAUACGAGUCCACGACUAAAUGCCAACUAGUUUAGUAAAAAGAAAAACGAGCUUACAGUUGUGAGCAUGUAGAAGUGUAGAGACCUUUACAAUUUUUCAUUGUACUAAAUCUUCUUCUUCUUUUGUCACAAGUGAAGGAGGUAUACCUGUGAUCUCGUUUUUUAGUGCGAUGUUUUUUGGGGAAGGUCUUGCUUUCUGGCUGUGUCAUCAGCCAUGACCAAUUUCCCUCACUGUUAGUGUUGUUGGCUGCUCAACAUUGUGUGUUACACAACACUGAGUAAUGAGAUUUCUUAAU